GACGAACGCUGGCGGCGUGCUUAGCACAUGCAAGUCGAACGGAAAGGCCCUGCUUUUGUGGGGUGCUCGAGUGGCGAACGGGUGAGUAACACGUGAGUAACCUGCCCUUGACUUUGGGAUAACUUCAGGAAACUGGGGCUAAUACCGGAUAUGAGCUCCUGCUGCAUGGUGGGGGUUGGAAAGUUUCGGCGGUUGGGGAUGGACUCGCGGCUUAUCAGCUUGUUGGUGGGGUAGUGGCUUACCAAGGCUUUGACGGGUAGCCGGCCUGAGAGGGUGACCGGCCACAUUGGGACUGAGAUACGGCCCAGACUCCUACGGGAGGCAGCAGUGGGGAAUAUUGCACAAUGGGCGGAAGCGUGAUGCAGCAACGCCGCGUGCGGGAUGACGGCCUUCGGGUUGUAAACCGCUUUCGCCUGUGACGAAGCGUGAGUGACGGUAAUGGGUAAAGAAGCACCGGCUAACUACGUG
RNAcentral lists this ribosomal RNA (468 nucleotides) under uncultured bacterium. RNAcentral describes it as "partial 16S ribosomal RNA". It matches the Rfam family "Bacterial small subunit ribosomal RNA", at positions 28 to 507 of the family's 1533-position model. The record is from RNAcentral.